RNAcentral lists this ribosomal RNA (1384 nucleotides) under Gymnogongrus sp. FredericqS_19.i.95_1. Its description in RNAcentral is "bacterial SSU rRNA". The stretch from base 1 to 536 matches the Rfam family "Eukaryotic small subunit ribosomal RNA", at positions 1273 to 1831 of the family's 1831-position model. The record is from RNAcentral. Lineage: Eukaryota; Rhodophyta; Florideophyceae; Gigartinales; Phyllophoraceae.
GGUGUGUGCAUGCCCGUUCUUAGUUGGUGAAGUGAUCUGUCUGGUUAAUUCCGUUAACGAGCGAGACCUGGGCGUGCUAGCUAGGCGACAGUACCGUUUUUUGGUAUUGCCUUCGCCUUCCUAGACGGACUGUGGGCGUCUAGUCCACGAAAGCUCCAGGCAAUAACAGGUCUGAGAUGCCCUUAGAUGUUCUGGGCCGCACGCGUGCUACACUGAGCGGGUCAACGGGUGAGGAUGUGCGAGAGCGCUUCCCAAUCUCUAAAUCCGCUCGUGCUGGGGAUCGAGGCUUGCAAUUUUCCCUCUUGAACGAGGAAUACCUUGUAAGCGUGGGUCAUCAUCCCGCGCUGAAUACGUCCCUGCCCUUUGUACACACCGCCCGUCGCUCCUACCGAUUGAGUGGUCCGGUGAGGCCUUGGGAGGGAAAGAUGGACUGUGUUUCACAGACCGUCUGGCCCCAACUUGGUCAAACCUUAUCACUUAGAGGAAGGAGAAGUCGUAACAAGGUUUCCGUAGGUGAACCUGCGGAAGGAUCAUUCGUAGUGGGAUAGUAGGGGUCACAUGGUGUCUGUGUGUAAAAACCAAAAAGCCUGUGAGCCCCUGCUUUUCUAUCAUGUUUCGUGAACACUUUCAAUCCAUAUUUUUUUCUAAUUCAUAACACGAAUCAAUAAACAACCAAAAAAAGUUUUUAUAACCAGACUAAAAACUCGUGACGGUGGAUGUCUUGGCUCCAGCAACGAUGAAGAACGCAGCAAAAUGCGAUACGUAGUGCGAAUUGCAGAACCCGUGAAUCAUCAAAUCUUUGAACGCAAGUUGCGCUCGCGGGCAAUCCUGCGAGCAUGUCUGUUUGAGUGUCCGCACAAAUGCGACUUUUGCUCUUUUCUAAAAAGAGCUGCUGAUGGGCGGCGCAGAUAUCAAAACCCUGUGCGAAGUCCGGACCCUUCGAAAGAGAGGUGCGGUCGCCCGAAGUAGAGAGCGCUGAUUGUCGUGGACUUUUUUGUUCCCCUUUUCUUUUGCCUCUGGCUGGGGCGGAUUUCUGGGUGCGGUCUUUCGAGACUGCUGCCUAACUGAAUACGACCAAGCGUGCGCUGCGAAGUAAUUUUUAUUAGCAGUCCGCAAAAGUCAUGGAAUUAGGAACGCGAAUGUAUUUCGUAACCAGAAUCUGUUUCAUGAAGAAAGGGUGUAUCAAAACCAUGUGCAAGUUAGCCAUAAAAAAACCACUCAUUUGGAUCUCAAAUCAGACAAGACGACCCGCUGAAUUUAAGCAUAUAAUUAAGCGGAGGAAAAGAAACUAACAAGGAUUCCCCUAGUAGCGGCGAGCGAAGCGGGAAGAGCCCAAAAUGAAAAGCCUGCUUGCAGGCGGUUGUAGCUGAGCGUCCUCGGGGUG